GGCCUUUCAUUUCUCGCGAUGGGCCCCUAUAUUCAGUUUGUCGGCUUGACCGACUAUGGCGAUAAAUGGGCGAUGAAAUAAGCCGUUCGGACCCGGGGGCGGUACCCGGCGCCUCCACCAAAAGCCGCUGUUGGCGACAGAGCGGUUUUUGCUGGGGGCGAAAUAGGAUCGACGAAGGUGUAAAGAUCGUACUUUUGCCCGGCAUAGUACCACCGUUAUCGGGCUAAACCUGUAGUUGCAAAUGACAACUAUGCGGAAGCACGUCUCGCCGCGUAAGCGGUGCGAUAGCUUCAAUUCAAGCCCUAGGGGUUCGCACUUCUAGGCGGGGUUCGGAGGUACCUGGCAACAGAAACCUCCACU
Non-coding RNA from Mesorhizobium sp. LNHC252B00, 360 nucleotides. The record is from Rfam. NCBI's taxonomy places the organism in Bacteria, Pseudomonadati, Pseudomonadota, Alphaproteobacteria, Hyphomicrobiales, Phyllobacteriaceae.